RNAcentral lists this ribosomal RNA (501 nucleotides) under uncultured bacterium. Its description in RNAcentral is "partial 16S ribosomal RNA". It matches the Rfam family "Bacterial small subunit ribosomal RNA", at positions 30 to 523 of the family's 1533-position model. The record is from RNAcentral.
AUUGAACGCUGGCGGCAGGCUUAACACAUGCAAGUCGAGCGGGGGAAGGUAGCUUGCUACUGGACCUAGCGGCGGACGGGUGAGUAAUGCUUAGGAAUCUGCCUAUUAGUGGGGGACAACAUCUCGAAAGGGAUGCUAAUACCGCAUACGUCCUACGGGAGAAAGCAGGGGAUCUUCGGACCUUGCGCUAAUAGAUGAGCCUAAGUCGGAUUAGCUAGUUGGUGGGGUAAAGGCCUACCAAGGCGACGAUCUGUAGUGGGUCUGAGAGGAUGAUCGGCCACACUGGGACUGGGACACGGCCCAGACUCCUACGGGAGGCAGCAGUGGGGAAUAUUGGACAAUGGGGGGAACCCUGAUCCAGCCAUGCCGCGUGUGUGAAGAAGGCCUUAUGGUUGUAAAGCACUUUAAGCGAGGAGGAGGCUACUUUAGUUAAUACCUAGAGAUAGUGGACGUUACUCGCAGAAUAAGCACCGGCUAACUCUGUGCCAGCCGCCGCCGUAA